UUUCCAGACACUCUGUGCAAAGAACAGAGGCAAGCCUCCAGCCAGGAGCUCAUGAAAUCAUGAACUGAGGCCUCAGUGCAAUAGCUCAUGAGGAAAUGAAUUAUUUCAACAGCCAGGGUUGCUCUGAAGACUAAAGCCCUGGGAUCAUUCAUUUUAAAAGAAAAGAACGGUGACUCAUCAUUUCAAGCUUUUCAUUCUGGAAGUUGGAAGUACAAGAUCAGAUUGCCAGCAUCAUCAGAUUUGAUAUCAAAGUAAUGUCAAGUGCUUCUGACCCACUGCAUUAAACGUGUGCUGAGCAGUUGGUGGUAGAAGACAUUAUUGUGAAGGCUGCUCACCACCAAUUUCAUCACUGUUGCUAACUCCAGCUCAUCUAAUCUCUGCAACAUCUGCUACCAGCACCUUCUCUUGCCUCCUUUUGUGAACAUAGUUUUUUCUUCUGGUUAGAAAAUCAGUUCGAACUUCUUGAGUUUUGUGUUUUAAACUCUUCUCAACUGUUCCGAUGAUUGAUGGAUGGCCCAGAGGCGACCUCUUUAUCUCCAGCAACAUAUUUGGCUGUUGGCCCGGUAGAGAGGUACUCCAGAAGCUUGCUGGUUCAUCAUGCUCUCAUCUUUAACCACAACUAUUUAUCUGACUCCUUCCAUCUCCACAGCACUGUGUGAGGGAUCAGUGAUAAGAGACGGUGAAAGACAUGCGCAAAUGGAUAAAUAAUAAGCAGGAUAUGUAGAAUGACACAACAAUUGAUGAGUAAUUUAGGAGAUCCAAUAACUAAAAAAAAAAAGACUGGGGACAAGUUCAUGGAAAGAGUAAUCAACUAAGCCUUAUAACAUAAAAUUGACAAAUAGAGAAGGCAUGCAAUCCAGUAGAAUAGAGUGCAAAAGAGGUAGAAGACUAAUCGUUUCAAGACAUGUUGAGCCACAACAGCAAUAACAUUGUGACAAAAAACGUCGGUGUAGACUGCAGAAGAUCUUCAAUGACGGAUCAAGCUGUAUAGACUUUUUUUUACCCUCAUAUACUGAAUAGUCAUUUAAGGUAUACAGUGCCAACGUAAGAGAGAAAGGUGGUCUAUCAUUUUGGAGUUUCUUUCCACCUCUGGAGAAUUGCUCAGGAAAUCUGGCUAACAUACCAAAUAAAUCAAAUGGAUUUAA
RNAcentral lists this long non-coding RNA (1145 nucleotides) under Homo sapiens (human). Its description in RNAcentral is "PREDICTED lncRNA (TCONS_00235667)". Lineage: Eukaryota; Metazoa; Chordata; Mammalia; Primates; Hominidae. The record is from RNAcentral.